Mytilus californianus (California mussel) is the source of this 402-nucleotide long non-coding RNA. RefSeq lists it as uncharacterized. The record is from RefSeq and is a predicted model, not a curated record. NCBI's taxonomy places the organism in Eukaryota, Metazoa, Mollusca, Bivalvia, Mytilida, Mytilidae. The transcript has 2 exons.
UUAUUUUCUAAAGUAUAGCGUCUGGAUGACAAGUGAUAUAGAAAUGGUAAUUUAUGACAAUUGGAAUAGUAUCGGCUUUUUUAGCUUGUCUAAAUGGAUAAUAUCCAAGACGAAUAACCAAGAAGUUGGUUAUUGACUUCGGAAGAAAUUAUAUUACGAUAAUAUUAUUGAAAAGUCCGAGUGUUUCGAUUGUUGUUUGGAUAAGUUGAAUGACGUCGUUUAAAGCUAUUUUUAUUUGUUUGUGACGUUAUACAAAUCAUGGAAAACACCAGACUGCAUGGCUUGGCCGCGAAGGAAAAUAACAGCACAGCAAACCUUGGGCUUGAGAAACUAAUGAUGAUUUCUGGACACAGAUUUUAUGUGAUAAAUGUCAAGAAUUAAAAAAAUAUAAUGUUCAGGAUA